This 75-nucleotide small nucleolar RNA is filed under the name Leptobrachium leishanense (Leishan spiny toad). RNAcentral describes it as "Small nucleolar RNA SNORD59 (ENSLLEG00000007437.1)". It matches the Rfam family "Small nucleolar RNA SNORD59". From Rfam's summary of the family: U59 belongs to the C/D class of snoRNA which contain the C (UGAUGA) and D (CUGA) box motifs. Most of the members of the box C/D family function in directing site-specific 2'-O-methylation of substrate RNAs. The record is from Rfam by way of RNAcentral. Lineage: Eukaryota; Metazoa; Chordata; Amphibia; Anura; Megophryidae.
UUUUCAAUGACGAGUUUCAACUCAUGACUUUCGUUCUUCUGAGCUUUCUGAAGCAACUUGCGUUUCUGAGACAGA